UUCAAAUUGGCUGGGUGAUUAAGCAGAAUCCCCACCCCUUAACAGCUUGAGGCAAACACACAGACAACAGCAAAGGGACCUCCCACACAGACAAAAGCUUCCCCAAGCCCUCAAAAAAACCAACACAAAUGCC
This is a long non-coding RNA of Sphaerodactylus townsendi, 133 nucleotides long. RefSeq lists it as uncharacterized. Lineage: Eukaryota; Metazoa; Chordata; Lepidosauria; Squamata; Sphaerodactylidae. The record is from RefSeq and is a predicted model, not a curated record. The transcript has 3 exons.